This is a long non-coding RNA of Panicum virgatum (switchgrass), 581 nucleotides long. RefSeq lists it as uncharacterized. The record is from RefSeq and is a predicted model, not a curated record. Lineage: Eukaryota; Viridiplantae; Streptophyta; Magnoliopsida; Poales; Poaceae. The transcript is spliced from 2 exons.
CCCUCCCAGCAGCCACCGUCCGAAAGCCCCAGGCCCCCAGCGGCCACCCGCCUGCCCGGCCGACCGGCCCCAUGCCCCCGCCCACCCCGGCCGACCGGCCCCAUGCCCCCGGCCGACGCCCGCACAUCCAUGCCCCAGCAACAGCGAGCGCCCCGCCCGCCGCCCGCUGACCGUCACAUGGAGGAAGCUGUCGCCCUCCGGCCGCCGCGCGGAGGCUGGUCGCGGGAUGCACAGAGGUCGCGCCGCCGCCGUCCACACCCAGUGCCGCGGCCUCCGACGAGCUAGCUUGCCGACCGCGCCUCACUAGUCCGCUUCGGCCUCGCCAAUCCACAAAUCAAGCAUCCCACGACGAAGUGAGCCAGGUCGGCACCUGGUGCUUCAAGCGGAUCUCGAGCUGCUGCUGUAUCUCAAUCUGUGGGUUGAUUUGUGUGGAUGUUGAUUUGUGUUGUUUUGCACUUGUAUUGAACUUGGAGUGCUCCCUGUGUGGUGUUGGUUGUAUGUAAUGUAAUAAUCUUAACUAUAUUAUGCUUGCCGAUUUGUAAAAAAAUUCGGGUUUCGGAUUACCCGUUGGGUUUAGGUUA